RNAcentral lists this ribosomal RNA (646 nucleotides) under uncultured Alphaproteobacteria bacterium. Its description in RNAcentral is "bacterial SSU rRNA". It matches the Rfam family "Bacterial small subunit ribosomal RNA", at positions 527 to 1173 of the family's 1533-position model. The record is from RNAcentral. Lineage: Bacteria; Pseudomonadati; Pseudomonadota; Alphaproteobacteria.
GAAGGGACCUAGCGUAGUUCGGAAUUACUGGGCUUAAAGAGUUCGUAGGUGGUUAAAAAAGUUGGUGGUGAAAUCCCAGAGCUUAACUCUGGAACUGCCAUCAAAACUUUUUAGCUAGAGUAUGAUAGAGGAAAGCAGAAUUUCUAGUGUAGAGGUGAAAUUCGUAGAUAUUAGAAAGAAUACCAAUUGCGAAGGCAGCUUUCUGGAUCAUUACUGACACUGAGGAACGAAAGCAUGGGUAGCGAAGAGGAUUAGAUACCCUCGUAGUCCAUGCCGUAAACGAUGUGUGUUAGACGUUGGAAAUUUAUUUUCAGUGUCGCAGCGAAAGCAUUAAACACACCGCCUGGGGAGUACGACCGCAAGGUUAAAACUCAAAUGAAUUGACGGGGACCCGCACAAGUAGUGGAGCAUGUGGUUUAAUUCGAAGAUACGCGCAGAACCUUACCAACACUUGACAUGUUCGUCGCGACUUUAAGAGAUUAAAGUUUUCGGUUCGGCCGGACGAAACACAGGUGCUGCAUGGCUGUCGUCAGCUCGUGUCGUGAGAUGUUGGGUUAAGUCCCGCAACGAGCGCAACCCUCACUUUUAGUUGCCAUCAUUUAGUUGGGCACUCUGAAAGAACUGCCAGUGAUAAGCUGGAGGAAGG